Molecule: ribosomal RNA, 130 nt
Filed under: Propithecus coquereli (Coquerel's sifaka)
Lineage: Eukaryota; Metazoa; Chordata; Mammalia; Primates; Indriidae
Source: RNAcentral
UUUGAUGACCAUACCAUUCUGAACGUGCCCAAUCUCGUCUGAUCUCAGAAGCUAAGCGGGGUCAGGCCUGGUUAGUACUUGGAUGGGAGAAACUACAGUGUGUGACCGUGUGCACUGAGUUGUAUUAAGA